CCUACGGGUGGCAGCAGUGAGGAAUAUUGGUCAAUGGGCGCGAGCCUGAACCAGCCAAGUAGCGUGAAGGAUGACUGCCCUACGGGUUGUACACUUCUUUUGUAAAGGAAUAAAGUUAGGCACGUGUGCCUUUUUGUAUGUACUUUAUGAAUAAGGAUCGGCUAACUCCGUGCCAGCAGCCGCUGUAAUACGGAGGAUCCGAGCGUUAUCCGGAUUUAUUGGGUUUAAAGGGUGCGUAGAUGGAGUGUUAAGUCAGUUGUGAAAGUUUGCGGCUCAACCGUAAAAUUGCAAUUGAUACUGGCAGUCUGGAGUAUAGUUGAGGUAGGCGGAAUGCGUGGUGUAGCGGUGAAAUGCUUAGAUAUCAAGAAGAACUCCGAUUGCGAAGGCAGCUUACCAAACUGCAACUGACAUUGAUGCUCGAAAGUGUGGGUAUCAAACAGGAUUAGAUACCCCUGUAGUC
RNAcentral lists this ribosomal RNA (460 nucleotides) under uncultured bacterium. RNAcentral describes it as "partial 16S ribosomal RNA". It matches the Rfam family "Bacterial small subunit ribosomal RNA", at positions 338 to 795 of the family's 1533-position model. The record is from RNAcentral.